CGGCAGGCCUAACACAUGCAAGUCGAGGGGUAGAGGGUGCUUGCACCCUUGAGACCGGCGCACGGGUGCGUAACGCGUAUGCAACCUACCUAUUGCAGGGGAAUAGCCCAGGGAAACUUGGAUUAAUGCCCCAUAGUCCAUAUUGAGAGCAUUUGAGAUAUGGUAAAGAUUUAUCGGCAAUAGAUGGGCAUGCGUCCCAUUAGCUAGUUGGUAUGGUAACGGCAUACCAAGGCUACGAUGGGUAGGGGCCCUGAGAGGGGGAUCCCCCACACUGGUACUGAGACACGGACCAGACUCCUACGGGAGGCAGCAGUGAGGAAUAUUGGACAAUGGGCGGGAGCCUGAUCCAGCCAUGCCGCGUGCAGGAAGACUGCCCUAUGGGUUGUAAACUGCUUUUUUACGGGAAGAAACACCCCCACGUGUGGGGGCUUGACGGUACCGUACGAAUAAGGACCGGCUAACUCCGUGCCAGCAGCCGCGGUAAUACGGAGGGUCCGAGCGUUAUCCGGAAUCAUUGGGUUUAAAGGGUCCGUAGGCGGGCGUCUAAGUCAGUGGUGAAAUCUCGCGGCUCAACCGUGAAAUUGCCAUUGAUACUGGUCGCCUUGAAUUAGUGUGAAGUGGCUAGAAUAUGUAGUGUAGCGGUGAAAUGCUUAGAUAUUACAUAGAAUACCGAUUGCGAAGGCAGGUCACUAACACUAUAUUGACGCUGAUGGACGAAAGCGUGGGGAGCGAACAGGAUUAGAUACCCUGGUAGUCCACGCCGUAAACGAUGGAUACUAGCUGUCCGGCCUGCAUUGGUAGGCUGGGUGGCCAAGCGAAAGUGAUAAGUAUCCCACCUGGGGAGUACGUUCGCAAGAAUGAAACUCAAAGGAAUUGACGGGGGCCCGCACAAGCGGUGGAGCAUGUGGUUUAAUUCGAUGAUACGCGAGGAACCUUACCAGGGCUUAAAUGUAGUCUGACAGGGGUGGAAACACCCCCUUCUUCGGACAGACUGCAAGGUGCUGCAUGGUUGUCGUCAGCUCGUGCCGUGAGGUGUCAGGUUAAGUCCUAUAACGAGCGCAACCCCUGUCGUUAGUUGCCAGCAUGUAAAGAUGGGAACUCUAACGAGACUGCCGGUGCAAACCGUGAGGAAGGUGGGGAUGACGUCAAAUCAUCACGGCCCUUACGUCCUGGGCCACACACGUGCUACAAUGGCAGGUACAAUGGGCAGCCACGCCGCAAGGCGGAGCGAAUCCACAAAACCUGUCUCAGUUCGGAUCGGGGUCUGCAACUCGACCCCGUGAAGCUGGAAUCGCUAGUAAUCGGAUAUCAGCCAUGAUCCGGUGAAUACGUUCCCGGGCCUUGUACACACCGCCCGUCAAGCCAUGGAAGCUGGAAGCACCUGAAGUCCGUCACCGCGAGGAGCGGCCUAGGGGAAG
RNAcentral lists this ribosomal RNA (1418 nucleotides) under Aequorivita sp. RNAcentral's name for it is "bacterial SSU rRNA". It matches the Rfam family "Bacterial small subunit ribosomal RNA". The record is from RNAcentral. Lineage: Bacteria; Pseudomonadati; Bacteroidota; Flavobacteriia; Flavobacteriales; Flavobacteriaceae.